Molecule: transfer RNA, 74 nt
Filed under: Marmota monax (woodchuck)
Lineage: Eukaryota; Metazoa; Chordata; Mammalia; Rodentia; Sciuridae
Description: tRNA.Thr
Source: RNAcentral
GUGGGGAUGUGGCUCAAGUGGUAAUGCGCUCGCCUGGUAUGCGCGGGGCCCUGGGUUCGAUCCUCAGCACCACA